RNAcentral lists this ribosomal RNA (674 nucleotides) under uncultured bacterium. RNAcentral's name for it is "bacterial SSU rRNA". It matches the Rfam family "Bacterial small subunit ribosomal RNA", at positions 59 to 731 of the family's 1533-position model. The record is from RNAcentral.
CAGUCGAACGAAGCACUUUAAUCGAUUUCUUCGGAUUGAAAUUUUAGUGACUGUUUGGCGGACGGGUGAGUAACGCGUGGGUAACCUGCCUCACACAGGGGGAUAACAGUUGGAAACGGCUGCUAAUACCGCAUAAGCGCACAGUACCGCAUGGUACAGUGUGAAAAACUCCGAUGGUGUGAGAUGGACCCGCGUCUGAUUAGCUAGUUGGCAGGGCAACGGCCUACCAAGGCGACGAUCAGUAGCCGACCUGAGAGGGUGACCGGCCACAUUGGGACUGAGACACGGCCCAAACUCCUACGGGAGGCAGCAGUGGGGAAUAUUGCACAAUGGGGGAAACCCUGAUGCAGCGACGCCGCGUGAGCGAAGAAGUAUUUCGGUAUGUAAAGCUCUAUCAGCAGGGAAGAAGAAAUGACGGUACCUGACUAAGAAGCACCGGCUAAAUACGUGCCAGCAGCCGCGGUAAUACGUAUGGUGCAAGCGUUAUCCGGAUUUACUGGGUGUAAAGGGAGCGCAGGCGGAAGGCUAAGUCUGAUGUGAAAGCCCGGGGCUCAACCCCGGUACUGCAUUGGAAACUGGUCAUCUAGAGUGUCGGAGGGGUAAGUGGAAUUCCUAGUGUAGCGGUGAAAUGCGUAGAUAUUAGGAGGAACACCAGUGGCGAAGGCGGCUUACUG